UGAAUGUCUGUGUAGCCUGAGAG
RNAcentral lists this non-coding RNA (23 nucleotides) under Mus musculus (house mouse). Lineage: Eukaryota; Metazoa; Chordata; Mammalia; Rodentia; Muridae. The record is from RNAcentral.